AAUCAUUUAGCUAUAAGUUAAGUGUGUACUUUGAAAGUAUAAAAAAGAAGAAUUCUAAUGAUUU
This 64-nucleotide transfer RNA is filed under the name Rhynchothorax sp. JZ-2022. RNAcentral describes it as "tRNA-Ser". The record is from RNAcentral. Lineage: Eukaryota; Metazoa; Arthropoda; Pycnogonida; Pantopoda; Tanystylidae.